Molecule: long non-coding RNA, 654 nt
Organism: Ruditapes philippinarum (Manila clam)
Lineage: Eukaryota; Metazoa; Mollusca; Bivalvia; Venerida; Veneridae
Exons: 3
Source: RefSeq, a predicted model, not a curated record
AAAGAAAAAAGAUUUUACAGCAGGAAAAUAUGUAUAAGGGUCGACAUUUUCGGUUUCGCGUUAAUACAUGGACAAACAAGUGUAACUAAUAAAGUGCAGCUAAAAUAUUUGUUUUACAGCCAGGCGUCAAUCACAGUGGAUAUCCCAUAUCUAUAUAGUGACAAAAGAUCUGCGCAACAAUGGAUGCCUCCAAUAAAACCAUAGAUCUGUAUCACCGCAGCACAAACAAAGCAUUAGAUGAUGAAACAUCAAUAGAUGAAUUCCUCAAUCAAAUGGAAGAAGAUUGUAAUCUCACAUGUGGCUCUAGUGUUUACAGGAACUUUAUCAUUACAAACCAUUCGUCAUAUAUUCUCGCGGAUUGUGUUGGGACCGUGGUGGCUAUGAUAAUGUUUGUAAUUGUGAUGAUGAUAGUGAUGAUGAUGGUGAUGAUGUGAUGAUGAUGAUGAUCACAAUCACUGUAAUAUUGGUUGCUUUGCUUUUGAUGCAUGGAAGCGAUGAGGCAGCAAACACGUAUCAGAACCGAAAUGGUCUUCGUUCCCUUAGAUAUAGAUAUGAUUAAUAGAAAAUAAACUUCCUAUAUAGAUAAUGAUUAAAAAAGACUAUAUUUUGUAGCAAGUGCAAAUAUUUUGUUUGAAUUGUAAUUUACAUGAUGUA